This 784-nucleotide ribosomal RNA is filed under the name uncultured bacterium. RNAcentral describes it as "bacterial SSU rRNA". It matches the Rfam family "Archaeal small subunit ribosomal RNA", at positions 47 to 838 of the family's 1478-position model. The record is from RNAcentral.
AGCCAUGCGAGUCGAGAGGUGUAAGACCUCGGCAUACUGCUCAGUAACACGUGGUUAACCUGCCCUAAGGUGGAGAAUACUCCCGGGAAACUGGGGUUAAUGCUCCAUAGUGGAUAUGUCCUGGAAUGGUAUAUCCUCGAAAGAUCCGUCGCCUUAGGAUGGGACUGCGUCCGAUUAGGUUGUUGGCGGGGUAACGGCCCACCAAGCCAUUGAUCGGUACGGGUUGUGGGAGCAAGAUCCCGGAGAUGGAUUCUGAGACAUGAAUCCAGGCCCUACGGGGCGCAGCAGGCGCGCAAACUUUACAAUGCGAGCAAUCGUGAUAAGGAAACCCUGAGUGCCUGUCGAUGCAGGCUGUUCAUAUAUCUAAAUCAUAUGUGAAGAAAGGGCAGGGCAAGACCGGUGCCAGCCGCCGCGGUAAUACCGGCUGCUCGAGUGAUGGCCACUAUUACUGGGUUUAAAGCGUCCGUAGCUUGACUGUUAGGUCCCUUGGGAAAUCUUCGCGCUUAACGUGAAGGCGUCUAAGAGAUACCGGCAGUCUUGGAACUGGGAGAGGUAAACCGUACUUCGGGGGUAGGAGUGAAAUCUUGUAAUCCUCGAGGGACGACCUAUGGCGAAGGCAGUUUACCAGAACAGCUUCGACAGUGAGGGACGAAAGCUGGGGGAGCAAACGGGAUUAGAUACCCCGGUAGUCCCAGCCCGUAAACAAUGUGCGUUAGGUGUGUCGGUAACCACGCGUUACUGAUGCGCCGAAGAGAAAUCGUGAAACGCACCACCUGGGAAGUAC